This 492-nucleotide ribosomal RNA is filed under the name uncultured bacterium. RNAcentral's name for it is "partial 16S ribosomal RNA". It matches the Rfam family "Bacterial small subunit ribosomal RNA", at positions 29 to 507 of the family's 1533-position model. The record is from RNAcentral.
AGUGAACGCUGGCGGUAGGCCUAACACAUGCAAGUCGAGCGGCAGCACAGUAAGAGCUUGCUCUUACGGGUGGCGAGUGGCGGACGGGUGAGGAAUACAUCGGAAUCUACUUUUUCGUGGGGGAUAACGAAGGGAAACUUACGCUAAUACCGCAUACGACCUACGGGUGAAAGCAGGGGAUCUUCGGACCUUGCGCGAUUGAAUGAGCCGAUGUCGGAUUAGCUAGUUGGCGGGGUAAAGGCCCACCAAGGCGACGAUCCGUAGCUGGUCUGAGAGGAUGAUCAGCCACACUGGAACUGAGACACGGUCCAGACUCCUACGGGAGGCAGCAGUGGGGAAUAUUGGACAAUGGGCGCAAGCCUGAUCCAGCCAUACCGCGUGGGUGAAGAAGGCCUUCGGGUUGUAAAGCCCUUUUGUUGGGAAAGAAAAGCAGCAGGUUAAUACCCCGCUGUUCUGACGGUACCCAAAGAAUAAGCACCGGCUAACUUCGUG